Molecule: ribosomal RNA, 249 nt
Filed under: uncultured bacterium
Lineage: Bacteria
Description: partial 16S ribosomal RNA
Rfam family: Bacterial small subunit ribosomal RNA
Source: RNAcentral
GAUCCUGGCUCAGGAUGAACGCUAGCUACAGGCUUAACACAUGCAAGUCGAGGGGCAGCGGGAUUGAAGCUUGCUUCAAUUGCCGGCGACCGGCGCACGGGUGAGUAACGCGUAUCCAACCUUCCGUACACUCAGGGAUAGCCGUUUCGAAAGAAAGAUUAAUACCUGAUGGUAUCUUAAGCACACAUGUAAUUAAGGAUUAAAGAUUUAUCGGUGUACGAUGGGGAUGCGUUCCAUUAGGUAGUAGGG